This 158-nucleotide ribosomal RNA is filed under the name Sceloporus virgatus. RNAcentral describes it as "partial 16S ribosomal RNA". The record is from RNAcentral. Lineage: Eukaryota; Metazoa; Chordata; Lepidosauria; Squamata; Phrynosomatidae.
ACAGCACACACCAAAAAAUCCCACACACACACAACAACCUCUUACAACCAUCUCAGUGCUAAUCUAUAAAAAUAUAGAAGAACUKAUGCUAGARCUAGUAACAAGAACAAAUCUCUACGYACAACUGUAAAACAGCCACAGAAAAACUACUGGAAAUU